Acanthosepion pharaonis is the source of this 114-nucleotide non-coding RNA. Lineage: Eukaryota; Metazoa; Mollusca; Cephalopoda; Sepiida; Sepiidae. The record is from the annotation of a GenBank genome assembly.
UACGGACACAUCAGAGAUUAAACACCUAUUCUCGUACGAUCACUGAAGUUAAGCAACGUUAAGGCUGGUCAAGGCCUACAUGGGUGUUCGCUUGGGAAUACCAGGUACUGUAAG